This 464-nucleotide unclassified non-coding RNA is filed under the name Hevea brasiliensis (rubber tree). The record is from RNAcentral. Lineage: Eukaryota; Viridiplantae; Streptophyta; Magnoliopsida; Malpighiales; Euphorbiaceae.
GAUAAACAUGAAUCAAGCGAUCAUUAGGAGCAAGGUUUUUCUCCUCGUCUAGAAUCUGAGGCAACAAGGUAAUAUUUCAGAAGUCACAAGCAGGCAUAGGAGGAAAUAAAUAAAUAGAUAAAAGAUGGAGAAAAUUAGGUUAAUAAUGAGAAUAAAAAAGUACUUCAAAAAAUUAUUUGCAAAUCCAUCCCAUAGGUGUCCCAUGUCUGCCUUGCCAAUCUCUCUUCCUAGUUCCCAGCAAUUGGAAGGAUGUUUCAACAAAAUUUAAAGAAAGUGAGGUGUAUUCUAUGCAAUUUAUGAGGGGGAAAAAAAAGCAGCACUAGCUAUCAAACUAUGUUCAGACACUCAAUAGGAGAACUCUUAAAAAGUCUUAAAAAGAAUGAACAAGGGAUGAACCGAAAAAAAAAGGAACACCUUUCCAUGAUUAUCUGAAACUCAAGCAGUUUAAUAUUAGAAUGUUAUCC